GCGCAAGAAGGUCACCAAGCGCUACAUGGCUCACGACGAGUCUGGUGCUCUGCGCGUUGGCGACUUUGUGCGCCUGGACGGCACCCGCCCCCUGAGCAAGACCAAGCGCUUCUCGGUCACCGAGGUGCUGCGCAAGGCGGAUUAAGCGCUUCUGGCGGCGUCGUUGGAGCCAUACAGUUAUCCAAAUGUUGGUUUGGUAGCAGUCGCCAGCGCUGGCGCUCGUGGCGAGCAGCGGAGGCGCGGCAAUUUGUGGUGGCCACCAGCCGACACCGCUUGGCGGUCGGUCUGGAGCAGCCGUGGUGCUGCAAAGGCGUGAUGGCAGGAGCUGGUAUUGGAGCAGACCGGGGGGACACGGCUGCAAGCCGAGCUGCA
Molecule: long non-coding RNA, 372 nt
Filed under: Chlamydomonas reinhardtii
Lineage: Eukaryota; Viridiplantae; Chlorophyta; Chlorophyceae; Chlamydomonadales; Chlamydomonadaceae
Description: long non-coding RNA (CREI_LNC000173)
Source: RNAcentral